UACACCCUUCAGCCCUUUUUUUUCACAAGUGCAAUGCUGCCACCUGCUGCCUGAAAUCUCUUUGUUUGUUUUUAUGAGAUUUUCCACACAUCUGCCUCCUCAAGUGGAGGCGCGCAGGAGUGUACAUUUUGUUGCGUCCUCUGUGGUAGGGGUUUAGUUUGAUUUUAAGACGCAUGUGAUUGGCCAACAGUUCCUGCCCUCAACUCAGACUGUUCUCUGGUAGGUUGACCGCAUUGACAGCAACACAAAUGACUCCACCCACUAGUAUCUUCGUCUUUAGUUACUUAUGCCAAUAUUCUUAGAAGUUUUUAUGGCCAUAUCGAAAAAUUGUACGAGCGUUAUUGAUGUGGGCUACGCUAGCAUCGUAGCUCAUUUACAACAUUACCACCAUCAGUAAUCAGAAUCAAAACCAAGUCAGAGUGAAGAGACAAGCUGAGAGAGAGACAGAGGUCAUGAUCAGAUGAGCUCCUGCAUUUUUCAGCAUGUUCUUAAAAAAAAAAAGAUUUAGAGUUAGAUAAACUUGGAUUUUUUUGUCAGGAACAUAUACAGGAUACUACCCUCUACAACAUAACCUUCACUCCAAAUCAAAACCUACAACCUGAUUUUGGACGUAACUACAUAAUCACCUGGAAGGUUUACAACUACCAAAGAGUAUUAUUCCAACGCUAUACAGCAAAUGCUCUGGAAACAACAGAAACCUGAAAACACCAUCCAACCUGGAACUGACCAGGUGAGGGAGAGGCUGAAGAAGGAUGUGGAGCAGAUGAAGUCUCAGGACCCUAACUUUCGACCAGGUCCGGUUGUGUUACAGGUGGGGGACAGAGAUGAUUCAAGCCUCUACAUCAGCAUGAAGCCGAAGGCAGCAGCUGAG
Non-coding RNA from Salmo salar (Atlantic salmon), 871 nucleotides. Lineage: Eukaryota; Metazoa; Chordata; Actinopteri; Salmoniformes; Salmonidae. The record is from RefSeq and is a predicted model, not a curated record.